This 387-nucleotide ribosomal RNA is filed under the name uncultured bacterium. RNAcentral's name for it is "bacterial SSU rRNA". It matches the Rfam family "Bacterial small subunit ribosomal RNA", at positions 29 to 416 of the family's 1533-position model. The record is from RNAcentral.
AUUGAACGCUGGCGGCAUGCCUUACACAUGCAAGUCGAACGGCAGCACGGGUGCUUGCACCUGGUGGCGAGUGGCGAACGGGUGAGUAAUACAUCGGAACGUACCUUAUCGUGGGGGAUAACGCAGCGAAAGCUGUGCUAAUACCGCAUACGCCCUGAGGGGGAAAGCGGGGGAUCGAAAGACCUCGCGCGAUUAGAGCGGCCGAUGCCUGAUUAGCUUGUUGGUGGGGUAAAAGCCACCAAGGCGACGAUCAGUAGCUGGUCUGAGAGGACGAUCAGCCACACUGGGACUGAGACACGGCCCAGACUCCUACGGGAGGCAGCAGUGGGGAAUUUUGGACAAUGGGGGAAACCCUGAUCCAGCAAUGCCGCGUGAGUGAAGAAGGCC